GAACGCCGUAUGAAGCGAAAGUUUCAUGUACGGUGUGAAGCGGGGGAAAACUUGGAGAUAACAUCAAAAAGUUACCUAUCGCUAU
RNAcentral lists this non-coding RNA (85 nucleotides) under Clostridioides difficile. RNAcentral also lists the same sequence under 19 other names. The record is from RNAcentral. Lineage: Bacteria; Bacillati; Bacillota; Clostridia; Peptostreptococcales; Peptostreptococcaceae.